GGUGGCCUAGUGGUUAGAGUGUCCACCUCGGAUGUGGGAGGUCGUAAGUUCAAGCCCUGGCCAAGCCA
This is a non-coding RNA of Potamilus streckersoni, 68 nucleotides long. Lineage: Eukaryota; Metazoa; Mollusca; Bivalvia; Unionida; Unionidae. The record is from the annotation of a GenBank genome assembly.